RNAcentral lists this ribosomal RNA (253 nucleotides) under uncultured bacterium. RNAcentral's name for it is "partial 16S ribosomal RNA". It matches the Rfam family "Bacterial small subunit ribosomal RNA", at positions 524 to 776 of the family's 1533-position model. The record is from RNAcentral.
UACGUAGGUGGCAAGCGUUGUCCGGAUUUAUUGGGCGUAAAGAGCUCGUAGGCGGCUUGUUGCGUCGACUGUGAAAACCCGCGGCUUAACUGCGGGCUUGCAGUUGAUACGGGCAGGCUAGAGUUCGGUAGGGGAGACUGGAAUUCCUGGUGUAGCGGUGAAAUGCGCAGAUAUCAGGAGGAACACCGAUGGCGAAGGCAGGUCACUGGGCCGCAACUGACGCUGAGGAGCGAAAGCAUGGGGAGCGAACAGG